CUUCACCGAGCCGAGCCACAGCGGGCGCUCCCGGUUCCUGCCGUAGGUCGCCAGCAGGGCCUGUGCCUC
This is an antisense RNA of 69 nucleotides. It matches the Rfam family "ASpks TB sRNA".